RNAcentral lists this ribosomal RNA (119 nucleotides) under Hordeum vulgare subsp. vulgare (domesticated barley). Lineage: Eukaryota; Viridiplantae; Streptophyta; Magnoliopsida; Poales; Poaceae. The record is from RNAcentral.
GGAUGCGAUCAUACCAGCACUAAAGCACCGGAUCCUAUCAGAACUUCGAAGUUAAGCGUGCUUGGGCGAGAGUAGUACUAGGAUGGGUGACCUCCUGGGAAGUCCUCGUGUUGCAUUCC